GGAUUUUCAGCUUCUCCGGGGGAGGACAACAAAAUGAAAAAACCCCACUUGAUGGCCACCUGCAUUUCCCGUGUGGAAAAAUGAGACUGCCUUUGUUAGGGUAAGAUGCCCUUCCCACUUGCCCCUGUACAUCUGGCCUAAGUCACUUCUUUUUAAUCCUUAGGGACAUUUGAGUUUUCAACACCUGCUCAGACCUUUCCCUGCAUUCAAACUUCCUUCUUUGGCAUCCCAGUGCCUCAGGCCCUGUUAGGUGACCGACUAAUCCCUGGGUUUUCAACCCUGGCUGCACAUCGGGAUCUCCUGGGCCAAUGAACAAAAUUCCCACGCAAGGCUGCACCCCUGACCAGUUGAAUCAGAAUCUCAGGGGAAAAGGGGGUGGGGGGGCAGGCCUAGUGUACUAAAAAACGAAACAAAAUCUCAGUUCCCUCGGUGAUUCCAAACUGUAUCCAGGAAGGCAAACCACUGUGAUAAUCUGCUAAUCCAAUUCAAGAGGAAGUUUUAGCAUCUAAACACGGUUUAACGGCCUCCCACAUAACUUUAGUCUUUCAAGCUUUUCCGGAAGGAGUAAUUGAUGUGGAAAUUGAAGGCAGAACUAGGAGGAUGGUUUUGGUUAGGUGAACCUUUUACUUGAUUUUCAAAUUAGAGUUGGUGGCUGUUUGGACCUAAAUGUAACUAUCAUUUCUAUAAUUAGUCUAUUAAAACAUUUUGUAAUCAUUUUAUCAAGCACAGACAGGUCAUGGUGGCUUUAUAGCUUUACAUGGUGCCAUUUUAUUAUUACUAUUAGUAAUUCUUUUUUUGAGGAAGACUGGCCCUGAGCUAACAUGCAUGCCCAUCUUCCUCUACUUUAUAUGUGGGACACCUGCCACAGCAUGGCUUACCAAGCGGUGUGUAGGUCUGCACCCUCCAUCCAAACCGGUGAACCCCCCGAAUCAAGCGGAAGGUGCAAACUUAACCGCUGUGCCACUGGUCGAUCCCCUUUUAAAAAUUAUUUUGAACCAGCAAGUUUUUUAAUCAAUGAAUUUGAGUUGCUAUUGAGACCUUCCGUGGGUUCUGGAAAUGCCGCUGGGUUUGACAAGCACAAGAAGUUAUGGUGGCUUUUUGAAAGGUCAUGAGUGGCCAAUACAGCAAGACAGGAACAUGUGCUGGCAGCCACUCGAUAAAUACUUGGUGAAUAAAUUGACAAGGCAUUUUUUCCUCCUCAUCUUCACUUGAGAUGGAGAAUUUGGUGACAUCUUGCAGUAGGGGGAGGGUGUAUGUACGCCCUCGUCAGAUGUCCUCCGACGGAGUGUUUUGUUAAGCCAUCCCUAGACGAUCCACAGAAGGCUCUAGGUAGAGAAAACACUGGGUUAGGCAAGAGCAGCCCCCACGCACCUCGUGUAUGUCCUUCCAAGGCUCCCUUAAACUUCAGUUUGGCAUAGCAGGGACCCCAGGCUCCCCCUAACCGAAGCCUAGAAGAAGGUGCUGUGUGUUCAGUCUGACCUCCCCACGACCCGAAUAGGCAAACAGACGGCACCCCUUGGAAAGGACCAGUGCAGCCUGGCUAGAAGGCUGGGCGGUGGGCUAGCAUUAAGGGGCACAACGGGGACAAUCCUGGGGGCUGCACCCAAAGCAUCCCCUGCACCUGCAAAUCCCCCACCUCAGUUUGGCCCCCCUGCACCCCGGCGGUCCAGCCCACCAGGGAGAGGCUGCCCGCGGGGCCGCAGUGGGGAGGAGGGUCGGCGGCCGGAGGAGGGAGGCGGCGAGCGAGGCUGGGGCGGGGGGCGCGGCGGGCGCGGUGCGGUCCAGGGGGAGGCGGGCGGAGGGAAGCGCCGCUGCCGCCACUGCCGCCGCUGCCGCCACUGCCGCCGCCUCACCCGCGGCGACACAGACGCCGGGAGCGGCCGAGGCGAGUGACUUCUUCUGACUUGAGCUGGCAGUGUGCUUUGAGAGAUCUACCACAGGAAAUACCUGCCUGCAGUGACAGGAACAGCAAGAUGGAAUAGCUUCAUUCUGAGGUCUAGGGUAAGGGAAAGAGGAAGAUGGCUCUCCCUGCCGUAAUUGCCUUCGUGAGACGGAGAAGAGAAAGGGAGACAAGUGAAAAGAAGACGAGAAAGAGACUGCAUAACAGGCCCUCUGGUGGCUUUCAGCUUCUCAGAAAAGGAGUGUGAACGGAAAGAUCCGAAAGAACUCCAGAUGUCCAUGGGGCCAAGGAGUGCAUCAUCAUAAUUCCAGACAGGUCUUAAUGAUUCCCCAGCCAUCUCGGGAACAGUCCCCUUGACUUUCAGCUUGGAUAUAUUUAACUUUGUACAUCCUAAUGAUUGCUAUGUAUAUGUGUGUGUCACACACACAAUAUCUUAUUCUGUAUUAUGACAUAUUGUGACAGUUGUGUUAAAUUUGUUGCUUUAUAUAUUUUUCUCCACUCCUGCCUCUUCUACUCCACCCUUUCUACUCCGUGGGUGGUCCGGGGACCAGCAGCAUCAGCCUCACCUGAGAGCUUGUUAGAAAUGCAGCAUCGCAGGUCCCACUCUCAGACCUGAUGAGUCAGAAUCUGCAUUUUAACAGGAUUCCCAGGGAUUCUCCUGCAUUUGAAUCUUUGAGAAUUGAUGUUUUACAUAAUGACUGUUUCAUUUUAUUUUUUUUUAGCCAACUGUGCUUUUAAUAAUGAGAUUAAAAUCCUUCAAAGUCAAAAUAUUGUGAAGGUAACCCUACUUUAAGAUUAGACCAGAUAUAGUGCACACAAUUAAGGCAUUUAAACGCAUUUUCUAGUUAAAUUAUUGAAUUUAUCAUUGAUAAGCGUAUUUAAAGCUUCUUAUUUUCAAAUUCUUUGAGUUUUGCGUUCUUAGCUCUCACAAACCUUGGCUCAUUCUUGUAGCACGGACUUUUCCAUUGCUUCAUCUUAUAAAGAGAUUUCUCAGACGUGUGAAGCCUUCCUCCUGUGGGCAAUUGUGUCUUCUUCUCCAUUUUGGUUUUAGCUCAAGCAACCGGUACCUGCAUGAAGCUUCUGUUGAUGCUUCAAAACCUGGCCUGAAAGGUUCUAGCAAGGACCCAUCCCUCUGUCAAGGUUCUCGCCAAAAGACCCUCAGCUUUUGAAUUUUCCCAACAUUGAGUAUCUUGUAAUGCAAUGAUAUGGGACUCUGCUGUCAGAAUUCUAGUUUUCUCUAUUUUUUUCUCAAUUUCCAAUAAAGGUUAAUUUACAUUUAUCCCAAUUCUUAAGUUGUCC
RNAcentral lists this long non-coding RNA (3199 nucleotides) under Equus caballus (horse). RNAcentral's name for it is "lncRNA (ENSECAG00000051015.1)". The record is from RNAcentral. Lineage: Eukaryota; Metazoa; Chordata; Mammalia; Perissodactyla; Equidae.